Molecule: long non-coding RNA, 352 nt
Filed under: Homo sapiens (human)
Lineage: Eukaryota; Metazoa; Chordata; Mammalia; Primates; Hominidae
Description: HSALNT0103374
Source: RNAcentral
ACUAGCAGAGACUUGAGUGACAAAAAACAAAGAAGGAACCUAUUUGAACUGGAGAAAGAAGGUGGAUGCUGCAGGAUUGAGAGACUUUAUGGAUUUUAAAAGAAACAAAGAUGGAGAGUGUCCUCAGGAAAGAUCUAAACCUUUUAGCUCUGUUGUGGCCUCUCUGGAGGAAGGAUUAGGACCAUGAAUCAUGGUAUCAUCCACAUCUGUCCUUGGGCAGUUCUAGAAGAUGUCCUAAGCCCCAGGUGACCUGAUUCCAAUUCAUUAAAAAGGUGAGCCACAUAUAUUCUUUCAACAGUAAGUGUCCCAAUGCUGAUGAUGAAGAUGAGAAAAUAUCUUCCAGUAGCUUAAC